Molecule: ribosomal RNA, 738 nt
Filed under: Salmonella enterica subsp. enterica serovar Typhimurium
Lineage: Bacteria; Pseudomonadati; Pseudomonadota; Gammaproteobacteria; Enterobacterales; Enterobacteriaceae
Description: partial 23S ribosomal RNA
Rfam family: Bacterial large subunit ribosomal RNA
Source: RNAcentral
GUGGACGCCAGUCUGCAUGGAGCCGACCUUGAAAUACCACCCUUUAAUGUUUGAUGUUCUAACGUGGACCCGUAAUCCGGGUUGCGGACAGUGUCUGGUGGGUAGUUUGACUGGGGCGGUCUCCUCCUAAAGAGUAACGGAGGAGCACGAAGGUUGGCUAAUCCUGGUCGGACAUCAGGAGGUUAGUGCAAUGGCAUAAGCCAGCUUGACUGCGAGCGUGACGGCGCGAGCAGGUGCGAAAGCAGGUCAUAGUGAUCCGGUGGUUCUGAAUGGAAGGGCCAUCGCUCAACGGAUAAAAGGUACUCCGGGGAUAACAGGCUGAUACCGCCCAAGAGUUCAUAUCGACGGCGGUGUUUGGCACCUCGAUGUCGGCUCAUCACAUCCUGGGGCUGAAGUAGGUCCCAAGGGUAUGGCUGUUCGCCAUUUAAAGUGGUACGCGAGCUGGGUUUAGAACGUCGUGAGACAGUUCGGUCCCUAUCUGCCGUGGGCGCUGGAGAACUGAGGGGGGCUGCUCCUAGUACGAGAGGACCGGAGUGGACGCAUCACUGGUGUUCGGGUUGUCAUGCCAAUGGCACUGCCCGGUAGCUAAAUGCGGAAGAGAUAAGUGCUGAAAGCAUCUAAGCACGAAACUUGCCCCGAGAUGAGUUCUCCCUGAGACUUUAGGUCUCCUGAAGGAACGUUGAAGACGACGACGUUGAUAGGCCGGGUGUGUAAGCGCAGCGAUGCGUUGAGCUAACC